This 447-nucleotide ribosomal RNA is filed under the name Cyclosa bifurcata. Its description in RNAcentral is "partial 16S ribosomal RNA". It matches the Rfam family "Bacterial large subunit ribosomal RNA", at positions 1832 to 2600 of the family's 2925-position model. Lineage: Eukaryota; Metazoa; Arthropoda; Arachnida; Araneae; Araneidae. The record is from RNAcentral.
UUCUUACUAAUUUAUUGUAAGUAUUACCUGCUCAAUGAUUUAUUUAAAUAGCCGCGGAAAUAUAACUGUGCUAAGGUAGCAUAAUCAUUAGUCCUUUAAUUAAGGACUUGCAUGAAAGGUAAAACAUUUCAAUUUCUAUCUAGUUUAAUUUAAAUUUAAUUUAAAUUAAGAAUCAAAAUGUUCUUAUCACAAAAAUAGACGACAAGACCCUUUUGAACUUUACUAUUGUUUAGCUGGGGCAGCUAAAAAAUAAUAAUCUUUUUUAUUCAUAUUAAAUAAAAGACCCAAUAAAAUUGAUUAUUUGAACAAGUUACCAUAGGGAUAACAGCGUAAUAUCUUUCUAAAGCUCUUAUUUAAAAAGAAGAUUGCGACCUCGAUGUUGAAUAAUGUUUCUUGAUUGGUGCAGUAACCUUAAAAGUAGGUCUGUUCGACCUAUAAAACAUUACA